Molecule: small nucleolar RNA, 94 nt
Organism: Vicia villosa (hairy vetch)
Lineage: Eukaryota; Viridiplantae; Streptophyta; Magnoliopsida; Fabales; Fabaceae
Source: RefSeq, a predicted model, not a curated record
AUUGGGCAUAUGAUGAAUCUGAAUAUGUGUAAAUGGGUAAUUUGCAUCUGAAUUUCGUUGAUGUCAAUAUCACCUUAGAGAACUGAUGCCCUAA